UGGGGAAUCUUGCACAAUGGGGGAAACCCUGAUGCAGCGACGCCGCGUGAACGAUGAAGCCCUUCGGGGUGUAAAGUUCUUUCGACAGGAACGAUAAUGACGGUACCUGGAGAAGAAGCUGCGGCUAACUACGUGCCAGCAGCCGCGGUAAUACGUAGGCAGCGAGCGUUGUUCGGAGUUACUGGGCGUAAAGAGUGCGUAGGCGGCGAGCCAAGUUUGGUGUGAAAUCUCCCGGCUUAACCGGGAGGGUGCGCCGAAAACUGGUUGGCUGGAGUAUGGGAGAGGAAAGCGGAAUUCCUGGUGUAGCGGUGAAAUGCGUAGAUAUCAGGAGGAACACCUGCGGUGUAGACAGCUUUCUGGACCAAAACUGACGCUGAGGCACGAAAGCGUGGGUAGCAAA
Molecule: ribosomal RNA, 400 nt
Filed under: uncultured bacterium
Lineage: Bacteria
Description: bacterial SSU rRNA
Rfam family: Bacterial small subunit ribosomal RNA
Source: RNAcentral